This 1316-nucleotide long non-coding RNA is filed under the name Mus musculus (house mouse). RNAcentral describes it as "long non-coding RNA chr4:118569039-118570355". The record is from RNAcentral. Lineage: Eukaryota; Metazoa; Chordata; Mammalia; Rodentia; Muridae.
GACGGGAGCUGGAAACAAGCUAAGGAGUCAGGAGAACUGAGACCUGGAUGUAUCGUGGGUAACGGAGAAGAACGAGGCAGGUCGCUAGCUUCUCAGGGAUGGGGAUGGGAUGAUGGCAAAAGGAAUAGGGCUACCAGUGGGCAUGAUGAUGCCUAGGUGGGCUCCCCGGUGAGCCCCAGGCCAUGGUGACAGCCAGGAUGAGCUACUGGAGAUCAGAGAGGAGGAGCCAUGAGAAAGCUGUGGGUCCCUGGAUGUCUGGGGAGUCUAGAGCACGGGUGGUCUCAGGCGGCAAAGGGAUGCAUCCGUUACCUGCAUGAUGCGGACAUAGUCGGUGCGAUGCAGCUCACCCUCCUUGAUCACUUUCUUCUUGAGCGUGGCAAGGUUCCUCUCCAGGUGUUCCCGCUGGCGGGCGUACUCCUGUUGCAGGUCUGAGUUCAACCCUGCAAUCUCCACCUGGCGCAUCACGUGGGGAGACACUCAGCCAAGGAGGGGAGAAGUGAAGCCUAGCACAGGGCAGUGAGGGCGGGGCGCUCAGAGCUCACCAUGUCUGCCCGCUGCACGUACUUCUCAAAGAGGCCACGGAUCUUCUCCUUCAGCAGCCCGGGUUCCUGGAUGUACGCCACGCAGUUGUGAAGGUCUGUCUUGAAGCGUCGGACCAGCGCUUCCAGAUCCCGUUCCUGCAAUCAGACGUUUACUCCUGGGACAGCAUGGCAUGCUCUGUUCUGAGGGGCAGGGGCUUCAGGCAGAGGCUAAUGAAGGGGUCUGGUGCCUCCUCAUCUGGGAUGAACACCUGACUGCUGGCGCCCACCCUGGGCACAGAAACCUAGAUGGGCAGCCAGCCCAAAGGUCGCCGUUCUGAAAUGCUUGUGUACCUGCCUGGGCCGGGUACCCUGCCUGGACAGCUGACAGGGCUUGAGACUGCACACAUGGCAUCCCGAUUGCUCCGGAUUCCUUUAAGGGCCUCAAGCUUAUAAGAUGGAAGGGAACUCAUGUGGCCACACUUUCCUUUGGCGCCAAGAAAAAUAUCUCAUUCCCUCCCACAGAUCCUUACCCAGGGCUGCCCCAUGCCUAAGGACCUCAGCAGUGAUGGUUCCCCUGACUGUCAGGAGCACUGUUGUGGCUGGAUGACAACUCCCUCCAGAUUGUUGUAGACUGGACCAGCUCUCCAUCUUCAGCCACGCUUUCUGACAGCUACCUUCCCUUAUCAUUACCCAAGAGGGUGUCUCCUUUUUCUCUUCUCUCAUAGCCCUUUAUUGACUUUCCAUGUGUGUGUGCACAUGUGUUUAUAUACACACUGACAUAUAAAAUUUCUCUCC